CGGACGGGUGAGUAAUGUCUGGGAAACUGCCUGAUGGAGGGGGAUAACUACUUGAAACGGUAGCUAAUACCGCAUAACGUCGCAAGACCAAAGAGGGGGACCUUCGGGCCUCUUGCCAUCGGAUGUGCCCAGAUGGGAUUAGCUAGUAGGUGGGGUAAAGGCUCACCUAGGCGACGAUCCCUAGCUGGUCUGAGAGGAUGACCAGCCACACUGGAACUGAGACACGGUCCAG
This 232-nucleotide ribosomal RNA is filed under the name uncultured bacterium. RNAcentral describes it as "partial 16S ribosomal RNA". It matches the Rfam family "Bacterial small subunit ribosomal RNA", at positions 99 to 334 of the family's 1533-position model. The record is from RNAcentral.